This 879-nucleotide ribosomal RNA is filed under the name uncultured Chaetoceros. Its description in RNAcentral is "partial Bacterial large subunit ribosomal RNA". It matches the Rfam family "Bacterial large subunit ribosomal RNA", at positions 1068 to 1955 of the family's 2925-position model. The record is from RNAcentral. Lineage: Eukaryota; Bacillariophyta; Thalassiosirophyceae; Chaetocerotales; Chaetocerotaceae.
AAAUGAGGUUUGUCUGCCCAGACAGCUAGGAUGUUGGCUUGGAAGCAGCCAUUCAUUUAAAGAGUGCGUAACAGCUCACUAGUCGAGCGGACGAGCAUGGAUAAUAAUCGGGCAUAAGUAUAGUACCGAAGCUAUGGAUUUACGUUUAGGCGUAAGUGGUAGGGGAGCAUUCUAAGGGGGUUGAAGGUGAUAUGUGAGUAUUGCUGGACUGCUUAGAAAAGAAAAUGUAGGCAUAAGUAACGAUAAUGCGGGCGAGAAACCCGCACACCGUAAGACUAAGGUUUCCUCAGCUAUGCUAAUCAGCUGAGGGUUAGUCGGGACCUAAGGCGAACCCGAAAGGGACAGUCGAUGGCCAACGGGUUAAUAUUCCCGUACUACUAAUUACUGUGAUGGGGUGACGGAGUGAUGAAAGCGCCGCGAACUGACGGAAUAGUUCGUUGAAGUACCUACCUAUAAGACCCGCAGGCAAAUCCACGGGUUUUGGGGAAAUACGAUAGUACUCGGAGUCUUCGGACAAAGAGAUAGUGCGCCUAAGGGCUUCCAAGAAAAACCUCUAAACUUCAGGUAAUUAGUACCAGUACCGUAAACCGACACAGGUAGUUGAGGAGAGAAUCCUAAGGUGCUCGAGAGAUUCAUGGCUAAGGAAUUAGGCAAAAUAGACCCGUAACUUCGGGAGAAGGGUCGCCCUGAGUAAUCAGGGCCGCAGUGAAGAGGUCCAGGCGACUGUUUAUCAAAAACACAGGGCUCUGCAAAAUCGUAAGAUGAAGUAUAGGGCCUGACACCUGCCCGGUGCUGGAAGGUUAAGAGGAGAUGUUAUCUUCGGAGAAGCAUUGAAUUGAAGCCCCAGUAAACGGCGGCCGUAACAAUAACGGUCCUAAG